This 426-nucleotide ribosomal RNA is filed under the name uncultured bacterium. Its description in RNAcentral is "bacterial SSU rRNA". It matches the Rfam family "Bacterial small subunit ribosomal RNA", at positions 97 to 518 of the family's 1533-position model. The record is from RNAcentral.
GGCGCACGGGUGAGUAACGCGUAUGCAACCUACCUAUCAGAGGGGAAUAACCCGGCGAAAGUCGGACUAAUACCGCAUAAAACAGGGGCACCGCAUGGUGAUAUUUGUUAAAGAAAUUCGCUGAUAGAUGGGCAUGCGUUCCAUUAGGUAGUUGGUGAGGUAACGGCUCACCAAGCCGACGAUGGAUAGGGGAACUGAGAGGUUGGUCCCCCACACUGGUACUGAGACACGGACCAGACUCCUACGGGAGGCAGCAGUGAGGAAUAUUGGUCAAUGGGCGGGAGCCUGAACCAGCCAAGUCGCGUGAAGGGAAAAGAAGGAUCUAUGGUUCGUAAACUUCUUUUGCAGGGGAAUAAAGUGCAGGACGUGUCCUGUUUUGUAUGUACCCUGAGAAUAAGGAUCGGCUAACUCCGUGCCAGCAGCAGC